This is a long non-coding RNA of Phragmites australis (common reed), 1554 nucleotides long. RefSeq lists it as uncharacterized. NCBI's taxonomy places the organism in Eukaryota, Viridiplantae, Streptophyta, Magnoliopsida, Poales, Poaceae. The record is from RefSeq and is a predicted model, not a curated record. The transcript has 3 exons.
GUUUUAAUAACCCACGGCCAGUGCACCACACCGCCACCACUGUCCGCCCCUGUCCCCACCGCCAUUUCUGCCGGCGGCCGCCGCCGCCGCCGCAAACAAGCAGAUUCUGCUGUACCGAUCCGUCCGGCACACUCCCGCACUUCGCCAUUGCAAUGUAAAGCCUGUCAGUCCAAGCAAUAAUGCCAUUGUGGAACAUAACUUUAACCAUUGAUAAAAAAUAUUAAAGAUCUAAUCUUGAUGAUAAAAUUUCCAUUUGAACUGUAUCACUAUUGGUUGCAUCCAUGCAACUAAGCAAGCAAGCUGGGUGCAUUGGGCAAUGGAAACUUUAUCAGACAAUCUGGUGAUUCCGGAAAACAUACCAGCUGUGGAACUUACUGUCCUGAAUUAACCUUUUUAUCAGUCUAAGCACCACGUUAUUCUUAUUGUCGGAUGGAAAGCUGGAGCUAGUCGAUAAUAAUGAUUGGCUCACAACAAUUUUGUUGUUGGUAGGGAAACCAUCUAGUAAUCGAUCAGGUAUGGACCCCCUGGCUCCUAUCCUUUAUCGAAAUGACAGGAUGAACAUAUGCUGCAAACUCUAAAGUUUUCGCUAUGUGGAUUUAGAGAAAUUUUACACUGUAUGGCCAACCUUCUUCGUAGUGGUUAUAUUGAUUGAACCAUAUUGGUGACAUUUUUAUUAAGUAAGGCCUCUUAUUUGGCUACAUCCUGUUCACACCAAAUUGGCAAGUGGACCAUAUUCCUUUCCUAGGAUGGUGUUAGAUGUUUGCAAGGUCCGAUCAUGUGUGGUCUUCAGCCCUCCUUUUCAGAUAUCUACUUGAACCCAACUUCUUAACAUGAACUUAAACGUAGCACUAGUUAUAUUCUUGCAGAUCUUCUAGAUACAUAUACUUAAACCGUAAUUGAUUCAUAUCAAUUUCAUAUAGCUCCAAUAGGAGGUUCCUGGCCAUCAUCUACAGAUUAGUGAAUCAUCAUUUUAUCGAUUCUGCUUGAUUCACAGUAUUAUUUUUUGCGAAUGAUUCAUAGUAUUAUUUUAUCUUAUUCUUCUAUACCCUAGAGAGCUCAUGCCCUUAAUAUAAGUGCCUCUCUCUAAUAAGCAUCUGCUAAACUUUUCAUUGACUGCCUUCCAACUUGCUGAUUAGAACUUGAUAAAUGGAUAUUUCCAGCACAACCUAGUCAUCACACAUAACAUGCCUUCAAGUAGUGUGAUCUGCUGAACAAUAUACCCGCUUGGUUUCUAAAGUAAUAUGGUUAUCAAGUUGACACUGAUAUUCUGUUUUAUAUUCCUGCCAAUGUUGAUAGACAUGCUUGGGGGCCUUGGGUGUUGUAGUUGAAGGCCUAUUGUGAUUUGGCAAUCUGGACGUGUAUGUUGAAUAAUAUGUUUAUUGGUUCAUGCCAGGAUUACUAGUGUGAGAAUCUCACGAGGGUAUGAGACCAAGAUAUAAAUUUUGAAUUCGUUUUCAUUUAUAAACAAGGAAGGAAAUAUUCAGAUCUUACAGAGGCAAUAGCCUGAACUUAACAUAGAUCUUGAAACAUUGUGUACAGAAAAUUGCUCUGCUC